Lepisosteus oculatus (spotted gar) is the source of this 119-nucleotide ribosomal RNA. Lineage: Eukaryota; Metazoa; Chordata; Actinopteri; Semionotiformes; Lepisosteidae. The record is from Rfam.
GCCAGCAGCCAUAUCACCCUGCAACUCACACCUGGCAGCCCACUGAAGCUCAGCAGGUGUGAGCCUGCUCAGUACCUGGAUGGGAGACCUCCUGGGAAAAACUAAGGCUGCUGCUGGAA